RNAcentral lists this ribosomal RNA (622 nucleotides) under Achelocis sp. NLG-2014. RNAcentral's name for it is "partial 16S ribosomal RNA". Lineage: Eukaryota; Metazoa; Arthropoda; Insecta; Coleoptera; Curculionidae. The record is from RNAcentral.
UUCUUGAAAAUUAAAAAAUUUGGCGGUAUUUUAGUCUUUUUAGAGGAAUCUGUUCUAUAAUUGAUAAUCCACGUUUUUAUUAACUUAAAUUUUUAAUUUAUAUAUCGUUGUAGUUUGAAUAUUUUUUGAGAAAAUUAAUGUUCAAGAUUUUUAUUGAAAGGAAUACAAAUCAAGGUGUAGUUUAUAUUUAAGAAGAGAUGGAUUACAAUGAAUUUAUUUAAAUGGAUAAAUUUUUGUAAUAAAAUUUUGAAAGUGGAUUUAAAAGUAAUUUUAUAUAAAUAUAUAAAAUGAUUAAGCUCUAAGAUAUGUACAUAUCGCCCGUCGCUUUCAUUAUAAGAUGAAAUAAGUCGUAACAUAGUAGGUGUACUGGAAAGUGUCCCUAGAAAGACAAAUUAAAGCUUUAUAAGCAUUUUAUUUACAUUAAAAAGAUUAUUAUAAUUUAAUAUAAUUUGAGAGAUAUAAAUUAUUAAGAUGAAUAAUAAAUAAAGUAAUAUUUAUUUUAAAUAAAAUAAUUUAAAUUUUUAUUAAUUUUAUAUGAAUAAAUAAAAUAUUAUAAUAGAUAAUUAGUAUUGAAAAAGAAAUUUAAAAUUUUUAUAAAAGAAGAAAUAAUAUUUUGUACCUG